This 433-nucleotide ribosomal RNA is filed under the name uncultured bacterium. RNAcentral's name for it is "partial 16S ribosomal RNA". It matches the Rfam family "Bacterial small subunit ribosomal RNA", at positions 29 to 507 of the family's 1533-position model. The record is from RNAcentral.
AACGAACGCUGGCGGCAUGCCUAACACAUGCAAGUCGAACGAAGGCUUCGGCCUUAGUGGCGCACGGGUGCGUAACGCGUGGGAAUCUGCCCUUUGGUUCGGAAUAACAGCUGGAAACGGCUGCUAAUACCGGAUGAUGACGAAAGUCCAAAGAUUUAUCGCCAGAGGAUGAGCCCGAGUUGGAUUAGGUAGUUGGUGGGGUAAAGGCCUACCAAGCCGACGAUCCAUAGCUGGUCUGAGAGGAUGAUCAGCCACACUGGGACUGAGACACGGCCCAGACUCCUACGGGAGGCAGCAGUGGGGAAUAUUGGACAAUGGGCGCAAGCCUGAUCCAGCAAUGCCGCGUGAGUGAUGAAGGCCCUAGGGUUGUAAAGCUCUUUUACCCGGGAAGAUAAUGACUGUACCGGGAGAAUAAGCCCCGGCUAACUCCGUG